Molecule: microRNA precursor, 67 nt
Filed under: Bombyx mori (domestic silkworm)
Lineage: Eukaryota; Metazoa; Arthropoda; Insecta; Lepidoptera; Bombycidae
Description: mir-2774 microRNA precursor family
Rfam family: mir-2774 microRNA precursor family
Source: Rfam by way of RNAcentral
AAAACAUUCAGACAGUCUGUCUAUUGUGCAAUCUCACCGGCUCAAAGGAAGAUCUUCCUUUCGUCAU